Molecule: ribosomal RNA, 433 nt
Filed under: uncultured bacterium
Lineage: Bacteria
Description: partial 16S ribosomal RNA
Rfam family: Bacterial small subunit ribosomal RNA
Source: RNAcentral
GCGAACGCUGGCGGCAGGCCUAACACAUGCAGGUCGAACGAACCUUUCGGGGUUAGUGGCGGACGGGUGAGUAACACGUGGGAACGUGCCUUUAGGUUCGGAAUAACUCAGGGAAACUUGUGCUAAUACCGAAUGUGCCCUUCGGGGGAAAGAUUUAUCGCCUUUAGAGCGGCCCGCGUCUGAUUAGCUAGUUGGUUGAGGUAAUGGCUCACCAAGGCGACGAUCAGUAGCUGGUCUGAGAGGAUGAUCAGCCACAUUGGGACUGAGACACGGCCCAAACUCCUACGGGAGGCAGCAGUGGGGAAUCUUGCGCAAUGGGCGAAAGCCUGACGCAGCCAUGCCGCGUGAAUGAUGAAGGUCUUAGGAUUGUAAAAUUCUUUCACCGGGGACGAUAAUGACGGUACCCGGAGAAGAAGCCCCGGCUAACUUCGUG